AUUGACUUAGACGCUCAAUUCAAUAUAUUGUAGAAGAAGGGAAUGAUGAUAUUCAAAAGAUAGAACUUGAUUUGCAAAAAAUUGCAUUGGAGGCAACUGUUGAUAUAUUGUAGACGCCAAGAAAAAAAAUACUUGAUUGUUGAUGACUUAGUGUUGGUGGCAA
Long non-coding RNA from Neltuma alba, 163 nucleotides. RefSeq lists it as uncharacterized. NCBI's taxonomy places the organism in Eukaryota, Viridiplantae, Streptophyta, Magnoliopsida, Fabales, Fabaceae. The transcript has 3 exons. The record is from RefSeq and is a predicted model, not a curated record.